Molecule: ribosomal RNA, 963 nt
Filed under: uncultured Neocallimastigales
Lineage: Eukaryota; Fungi; Neocallimastigomycota; Neocallimastigomycetes; Neocallimastigales
Description: partial large subunit ribosomal RNA
Rfam family: Eukaryotic large subunit ribosomal RNA (bases 173-963)
Source: RNAcentral
GUACACGCUGUGACUAGCAUAUCAAUAAGCGGAGGAAAAGAGGGCUAUUACCUACGCUUAGGAUGUUGACACACGCGCGUGCUCGACUCUAGUACACGCUGUGACUAGCAUAUCAAUAAGCGGAGGAAAAGGCUGCGGAACUGAACGGACCGCUACCUACGCUUAGGAUGUUGAUAGUCACAGCGUGUACGCUGACGUCGCGACGCAUAUCAAUAAGCGGAGGAAAAGAAACUAACAAGGAUUCCCCUAGUAACGGCGAGUGAAGCGGGAAGAGCUCAAAUUUGAAAUCUUAAAGGGUUUCCCUUUACGAAUUGUAGUUUAAAGAAGUGUUUUCUGUUGAGGUUUUGGUAAAAGUUCUUUGGAAUAGGACAUCAUAGAGGGUGAGAAUCCCGUAUUUGACCUUUACUUUCAACUUUGUGAUACACUUUCAAAGAGUCGGAUUGUUCGGGAAUGCAGUCCAAAAUGGGUGGUAAAUUUCAUCUAAAGCUAAAUAUUGGCGAGAGACCGAUAGCGAACAAGUACCGUGAGGGAAAGAUGAAAAGAACUUUGAAAAGAGAGUUAAACAGUACGUGAAAUUGUCAAAAGGGAAGCGUUUGACACCAGUGUUGUUUUUCUGAAAAUCAAUUAAAGAACUGUUUAUGCUAAGUUGUUUAGACUUUAUCAGCUAUCUGUUUCAGUUUUGAGCUUUUCUUUAAUGCACUUUUCAGUUAACAAGUCAACAUCAAUUUCUUUUGCUGUAAAAAAGCUUGAGGAAGGUGGCUUGAGAUUCGUCUUAAGUGUUUAUAGCCUCUUGCCUACGCAGUCGGAGAGAUCGAGGUCUGCAGCGUAGAUCCUUCGGGGCUAAAUGCAUUUGUGCUAAGUUAUAGCAUUUUAUAGACAACUUGUUGACUAUGAUUUGUCUUGUAGCUUACUCGCUUAUGUUAUUUUACCUACGCUUAGGAUGUUGAGUCGUAGAGCACGCAG